This 77-nucleotide transfer RNA is filed under the name Candidatus Rokuibacteriota bacterium. RNAcentral describes it as "tRNA-Pro". It matches the Rfam family "tRNA". Rfam says of the family: Transfer RNA (tRNA) molecules are approximately 80 nucleotides in length. Their secondary structure includes four short double-helical elements and three loops (D, anti-codon, and T loops). Further hydrogen bonds mediate the characteristic L-shaped molecular structure. tRNAs have two regions of fundamental functional importance: the anti-codon, which is responsible for specific mRNA codon recognition, and the 3' end, to which the tRNAs corresponding amino acid is attached (by aminoacyl-tRNA synthetases). tRNAs cope with the degeneracy of the genetic code in two manners: having more than one tRNA (with a specific anti-codon) for a particular amino acid; and 'wobble' base-pairing, i.e. permitting non-standard base-pairing at the 3rd anti-codon position. Lineage: Bacteria; Candidatus Rokuibacteriota. The record is from RNAcentral.
CGGGGUGUGGCGCAGCCUGGCAGCACACCUGCUUUGGGAGCAGGGGGCCGGAGGUUCAAAUCCUCUCACCCCGACCA